ACGCUGGCGGCACGCCUUAUACAUGCAAGUCGAACGCAGUAGCAAUACUGAGUGGCAGACGGGUGAGUAUAAUGUGGGAAUCUGCCUUUUGGUUUGGAAUAACUCGGGGAAACCUGAGCUAAUACUGGAUAAGCCCUUACGGGGAAAGCUUUAUGCGCCAAAAGAUGAGCCCGCACUUGAUUAGCUUGUUGGUGAGGUAAAAGCUCACCAAGGCAACGAUCAAUAGCUGUUCUUAGAGGAAGACCAGCCACAUUGGGACUGAGACACGGCCCAGACUCCUACGGGAGGCAGCAGUAAGGAAUCUUGCACAAUGGGGGAAACCCUGAUGCAGCGAUGCCGCGUGAGUGAAGAAGGCCUUUGGGUUGUAAAACUCUUUCGUCGGGGAAGAAAAUGACUGUACCCGAAUAAGAAGGUCCGGCUAACUUCGUGCCAGCAGCCGCGGUAAUACGAAGGGACCUAGCGUAGUUCGGAAUUACUGGGCUUAAAGAGCUCGUAGGUGGUUAGAAAAGUUGGUGGUGAAAUCCCAAGGCUCAACCUUGGAACUGCCAUCAAAACUUUCUAGCUAGAGUGUGAUAGAGGAAAGUGGAAUUUCUAGUGUAGAGGUGAAAUUCGUAGAUAUUAGAAAGAACACCAAAUGCGAAGGCAACUUUCUGGAUCGCAACUGACACUGAGGAGCGAAAGCAUGGGUAGCGAAGAGGAUUAGAUACCCUCGUAGUCCAUGCCGUAAACGAUGUGUGCUAGACGUUGGAAAUUUAUUUUCAGUGUCGCAGCAAAAGCGUUAAGCACACCGCCUGGGGAGUACGACCGCA
This 809-nucleotide ribosomal RNA is filed under the name uncultured Pelagibacteraceae bacterium. RNAcentral's name for it is "bacterial SSU rRNA". It matches the Rfam family "Bacterial small subunit ribosomal RNA", at positions 33 to 890 of the family's 1533-position model. Lineage: Bacteria; Pseudomonadati; Pseudomonadota; Alphaproteobacteria; Candidatus Pelagibacterales; Candidatus Pelagibacteraceae. The record is from RNAcentral.